RNAcentral lists this small RNA (135 nucleotides) under Enterobacteriaceae bacterium. RNAcentral's name for it is "RtT sRNA". It matches the Rfam family "RtT RNA". From Rfam's summary of the family: This family represents a bacterial cis-regulatory element known as RtT RNA. The exact function of RtT is unknown although it is thought that it may be involved in changing the cellular response in relation to amino acid starvation. The record is from RNAcentral. Lineage: Bacteria; Pseudomonadati; Pseudomonadota; Gammaproteobacteria; Enterobacterales; Enterobacteriaceae.
UUCGCCCAAAUUUCACAGAGGAUGAGAACCUCCGGGGCAGGAGGUUCGACCCGAGCGAAGCGAGAGAGCGUUGCUUUAGCAACGACCCGCAGGGCGAAGCCACGAAGUGGCGAGUUUAUCCUCUCGGCUUCUCUA